CAGCCGCCGCGGUAAUACGGAGGGUGCGAGCGUUAAUCGGAAUUACUGGGCGUAAAGCGCGCGUAGGUGGUUUGUUAAGUCAGCUGUGAAAGCCCCGGGCUCAACCUGGGAAUUGCAGUUGAUACUGGCAGGCUAGAGUACGAGAGAGGGAGGUAGAAUUCCAUGUGUAGCGGUGAAAUGCGUAGAUAUAUGGAGGAAUACCAGUGGCGAAGGCGGCCUCCUGGCUCGAUACUGACACUGAGGUGCGAAAGCGUGGGUAGCAAACAGGAUUAGAUACCCUGGUAGUCCACGCCGUAAACGAUGUCUACUAGCCGUUGGGAGACUUGAUUUCUUAGUGGCGCAGCUAACGCAGUAAGUAGACCGCCUGGGGAGUACGGCCGCAAGGUUAAAACUCAAAUGAAUUGACGGGGGCCCGCACAAGCGGUGGAGCAUGUGGUUUAAUUCGAUGCAACGCGAAGAACCUUACCAGGCCUUGACAUCCUGAGAACUUUCUAGAGAUAGAUGGGUGCCUUCGGGAACUCAGUGACAGGUGCUGCAUGGCUGUCGUCAGCUCGUGUCGUGAGAUGUUGGGUUAAGUCCCGUAACGAGCGCAACCCUUGUCCUUAGUUGCCAGCACUUCGGGUGGGAACUCUAAGGAGACUGCCGGUGACAAACCGGAGGAAGGUGGGGACGACGUCAAGUCAUCAUGGCCCUUACGGCCUGGGCUACACACGUGCUACAAUGGAACGCACAGAGGGCAGCUAACCCGCGAGGGGGAGCGAAUCCCACAAAACGUUUCGUAGUCCGGAUUGGAGUCUGCAACUCGACUCCAUGAAGUCGGAAUCGCUAGUAAUCGUGGAUCAGAAUGCCACGGUGAAUACGUUCCCGGGCCUUGUACACACCGCCCGUCACAUCAUGGGAGUGGGUUGCUCCAGAAGUGGUUAGUCUAACCUUCGGGGGGACGAUCACCACGGAGUGAUUCAUGACUGGGAUGAAGUCGUAACAAGGUAACCGUA
Molecule: ribosomal RNA, 995 nt
Filed under: uncultured Gammaproteobacteria bacterium
Lineage: Bacteria; Pseudomonadati; Pseudomonadota; Gammaproteobacteria
Description: bacterial SSU rRNA
Rfam family: Bacterial small subunit ribosomal RNA
Source: RNAcentral